RNAcentral lists this ribosomal RNA (456 nucleotides) under Staphylococcus saprophyticus. RNAcentral describes it as "bacterial SSU rRNA". It matches the Rfam family "Bacterial small subunit ribosomal RNA", at positions 35 to 474 of the family's 1533-position model. Lineage: Bacteria; Bacillati; Bacillota; Bacilli; Caryophanales; Staphylococcaceae. The record is from RNAcentral.
GCUGGCGGCGUGCCUAAUACAUGCAAGUCGAGCGAACAGAUAAGGAGCUUGCUCCUUUGACGUUAGCGGCGGACGGGUGAGUAACACGUGGGUAACCUACCUAUAAGACUGGGAUAACUUCGGGAAACCGGAGCUAAUACCGGAUAACAUUUGGAACCGCAUGGUUCUAAAGUGAAAGAUGGUUUUGCUAUCACUUAUAGAUGGACCCGCGCCGUAUUAGCUAGUUGGUAAGGUAACGGCUUACCAAGGCGACGAUACGUAGCCGACCUGAGAGGGUGAUCGGCCACACUGGAACUGAGACACGGUCCAGACUCCUACGGGAGGCAGCAGUAGGGAAUCUUCCGCAAUGGGCGAAAGCCUGACGGAGCAACGCCGCGUGAGUGAUGAAGGGUUUCGGCUCGUAAAACUCUGUUAUUAGGGAAGAACAAACGUGUAAGUAACUGUGCACGUCUGACG